Molecule: small RNA, 170 nt
Organism: Firmicutes bacterium CAG:424
Lineage: Bacteria; Bacillati; Bacillota
Rfam family: Clostridiales-1 RNA
Source: Rfam
UGAUGUCAGGGUCAAAAGGUCAUGAAUCACGUUGUGCUUGCACAUAAGUGAUUUUAUGCCUUUAUGACCCGACCCAAAAUGAGGAUAAAAGUGGGGCGCAUGCACCACGAUAUCCGAAUUUGGGGCAGGAUUGUGGGAGCACAGCGUGCGGAACAAUCCGUCAGACAUCU